Molecule: long non-coding RNA, 1774 nt
Filed under: Anser brachyrhynchus (Pink-footed goose)
Lineage: Eukaryota; Metazoa; Chordata; Aves; Anseriformes; Anatidae
Description: lncRNA (ENSABRG00000009267.1)
Source: RNAcentral
ACUGUUGAUUGGUUUUGCCACUGAGGCAAGACUUUGCCAUCAAGUCUAAGAACAGAGGGAAGGACCACGUGUGAAAGCUGCUGCAGAUGAGCAGAUGUCUCAACCCAUCAGUGGCCUUACUGGUUUCUUUCCUGAGCAUAAGGGCAAAGGAGUUUUAGGAAAGGGUCUGAAAACCAGCUGACUUUGUGGAUAUUUGCAGCCAGCUCUUCCCAAUACAGGGAGUCCCACAGACGUGGUUGCUUACGAAUGUAACACUUCAACACAGAUGGGUGAUAGGGGGAGUCUGUCUCUGGGUACUGGCUGGGAGACGAGACUCAGCUGUGAAAUGAAGCCUGGUGCCUUAUGUUUGACGAGGCAGAGGUGGGGCAAAGAGGGAAGGCUGUAACACAAUCAAAACAGCAAGGCUGGGAAAUGAUCUUCGGAUGGCAUUCUCAAUCACUGUGAGCAGGAGAAAUUGUAUUUGUCAAGUAGAGAGGGAAGCCUGUGGCUUCUGUGGUCUACUGUGCUUCAUCCAGACCAGGACUGAACAGGCCUUUUAAUCUAUGCUGUACUCACUUUACUAGACAGAUUUAUAUAUUGUAUAAGUGUUACAGAAAGGUUCCCGAGCCAGUAUUUGUUCUAAAUCCUUCCCUUUUCAUUUACUUUUUAUUGUGCUCACAAGCGACCAUUAAAACCAGGAUCUCACAGAUCUAGUGGAUACCUGAACAUUACAGCCACAUUGUUACAGCUACAGAGGAUGUGAGAAAAGAGCAGACUCGUCCAGUUAGCUCAUUUCUGUGGCUGCUUAGCACUAAGGCCACGCUGGCAGAGAAGGGCGUCCCUGUGUUCAUUUCCUUCACCUGCCUGUGCUCAGUGCUCCCCUCUGCUGUCUACAGAAAUUGAGUGGUCUUUGGGUGAGCCAGGGCAGACCACAGAUGUGGUCACUGGGUUUUUGUCUGUCCCUGGUAUAAAGGCUGCUGCUGAAUUAAAGAAGAGGUGCUUUCAAGACAGAAGGAGCUUGUCCCUGGACCCUCAUCCACAGGAGAGUGACAUCCAAUUUCUCCCACGCUGCAGAAAAACUUGGAGUCAGCCAUGACUAUGUUGAUCUACUUAGCUUUACUGCAUGAAAACUGUAAUAAUAAUAACACUGGUGCAGUGCUGAGCAAGGUUUUCUGCUGCUGCAAUCAUGAACGUUCUGCCAGCUUUGAAGGAAAUAAUCUGUUGAUGCCAGUUCAGAAUCUGGCCUUCUUCUAAAGAAAUCAAGUAACAAUGAAAUCAUCAAUGCCUCUCUUGACCAACACUGAAUUAACAUACUUCCUUUUUUUCAAGAAUAGCUCGCACUUAUCCCAAAUUUGAAUUGAUAUUCUAACUGGAAAUAUAUUUCAGUUAUUUUUCCUUGCAAUCAAUUGUUUAAAGAAAAAUAAUUGUCUUUCCAUUGUUUUAUUUCCAUUGCUUGGUUUAUGUUAUUCAAAUUUCUGCAUAGCUGGUGAGUUCACAUUCUUUCACACACUGAUUACAAAGCUAAUCAGCCAGGUGAAAUGGGACUGAAAUGCUGCCAUUUGCUCUGAUUUCUAGGAAUAUAAAUAGCAACCACAGCUCUACAUCUUGAGCAGAACUAUUCUCAGGACGCCUGCUUACAUUCACCUGAGAGCCAGCGGGCAUCUGGCUGCAAGACUUCGUGGACUCAUUUCUAGAAGUUAGACUCAAAGCAGAGAGGACAAGAAAAACAUAGCCCAAUGGGAUCUCUCCUAAAUUAGAGCUUUCAGCGUGGGAGAUCCAACAGCUCAGGGGAAUU